RNAcentral lists this ribosomal RNA (189 nucleotides) under Triticum aestivum (bread wheat). Its description in RNAcentral is "partial small subunit ribosomal RNA". Lineage: Eukaryota; Viridiplantae; Streptophyta; Magnoliopsida; Poales; Poaceae. The record is from RNAcentral.
AUGCUGACACUUCUUGAAUUGGGGAUCUGGAUCCUCCCGGUGACGCGCAUCUUCACGCCAUGCAGGCGCCUAGUUCUCCUACUUGACAACCUCCAGCAGCUGAAGGCAAGCAUCAUGCGCACAAGGUCAUCGUCUCCAGCCCUUUGGAGUCGUCUGGCGAGGCUGCAGACGAUAACCUUCACAUUGUGA